RNAcentral lists this ribosomal RNA (514 nucleotides) under uncultured bacterium. RNAcentral's name for it is "bacterial SSU rRNA". It matches the Rfam family "Bacterial small subunit ribosomal RNA", at positions 14 to 518 of the family's 1533-position model. The record is from RNAcentral.
CGAUUCUGGCUCAGGAUGAACGCUAGCUACAGGCUUAACACAUGCAAGUCGAGGGGCAGCAUGAGAUUAGCUUGCUAAUCUUGAUGGCGACCGGCGCACGGGUGAGUAACGCGUAUCCAACCUUCCCCCUACUCAGGCAUAGCCCGGUGAAAACCGGAUUAACUCCUGAUAGUUUCACUAGAUGGCAUCUGACGGUGAAUAAAGCUCAGCGGUAAGGGAUGGGGAUGCGUCUGAUUAGCUUGUUGGCGGGGUAACGGCCCACCAAGGCGACGAUCAGUAGGGGUUCUGAGAGGAAGGUCCCCCACAUUGGAACUGAGACACGGUCCAAACUCCUACGGGAGGCAGCAGUGAGGAAUAUUGGUCAAUGGGCGCGAGCCUGAACCAGCCAAGUAGCGUGCAGGAAGACGGCCCUAUGGGUUGUAAACUGCUUUUGUGCGGGAAUAAAGUCAGGGACGUGUCCCUGUUUGCAUGUACCGCAAGAAUAAGGACCGGCUAAUUCCGUGCCAGCCGCCGC